Molecule: regulatory RNA element, 169 nt
Organism: Anaerofustis stercorihominis DSM 17244
Lineage: Bacteria; Bacillati; Bacillota; Clostridia; Eubacteriales; Eubacteriaceae
Rfam family: Lysine riboswitch aptamer
About the family: Riboswitches are metabolite binding domains within certain messenger RNAs that serve as precision sensors for their corresponding targets. Allosteric rearrangement of mRNA structure is mediated by ligand binding, and this results in modulation of gene expression. This family includes riboswitches that sense lysine in a number of genes involved in lysine metabolism, including lysC.
Source: Rfam
UAAAAUGAUAGAGGUGCGGUGUUCAUCAGUAUUAUAUAAUGGAAUUGCGGUGAUUUUAUAUAGGAAAGGGGAUACUGCCGAAGGAUUUAUUUUUACCGAAAAAGUAAGUCCUGGUAUAUUACAGAAUAUGUAAUGUACUGUCACAAAGAUGUGGAGCGCUAUCCUAAAG